GUGCACGCUGGCGGUAGGCCUAACACAUGCAAGUCGAACGGCAGCACCGUAAGAGCUUGCUCUUACGGGUGGCGAGUGGCGGACGGGUGAGGAAUACAUCGGAAUCUACUUUUUCGUGGGGGAUAACGUAGGGAAACUUACGCUAAUACCGCAUACGACCUACGGGUGAAAGCAGGGGAUCUUCGGACCUUGCGCGAUUGAUUGAGCCGAUGUCGGAUUAGCUAGUUGGCGGGGUAAAGGCCCACCAAGGCGACGAUCCGUAGCUGGUCUGAGAGGAUGAUCAGCCACACUGGAACUGAGACUCGGUCCAGACUCCUACGGGAGGCAGCAGUGGGGAAUAUUGGACAAUGGGCGCAAGCCUGAUCCAGCCAUACCGCGUGGGUGAAGAAGGCCUUCGGGUUGUAAAGCCCUUUUGUUGGGAAAGAAAAGCAGCAGGUUAAUACCCCGCUGUUCUGACGGUACCCAAAGAAUAAGCACCGGCUAACUUCGUG
This 491-nucleotide ribosomal RNA is filed under the name uncultured bacterium. RNAcentral describes it as "partial 16S ribosomal RNA". It matches the Rfam family "Bacterial small subunit ribosomal RNA", at positions 29 to 507 of the family's 1533-position model. The record is from RNAcentral.